GAUGAACGCUAGCGGCAGGCCUAACACAUGCAAGUCGAGGGGUAACAGGGAGUGCUUGCACUCUGCUGACGACCGGCGCACGGGUGCGUAACGCGUAUGCAACCUACCUUCUACAGGGGGAUAGCCCAGAGAAAUUUGGAAUAAUACCCCAUACGAUCUUUACUUGGCAUCGAGUAGAGAAGAAAACUUUUUGUGGUAGAAGGUGGGCAUGCGUCCUAUUAGUUAGUUGGUGAGGUAACGGCUCACCAAGACUUCGAUAGGUAGGGGCCCUGAGAGGGGGAUCCCCCACACUGGUACUGAGACACGGACCAGACUCCUACGGGAGGCAGCAGUGAGGAAUAUUGGACAAUGGGGGCAACCCUGAUCCAGCCAUGCCGCGUGCAGGAAGACUGCCCUAUGGGUUGUAAACUGCUUUUAUACAGGAAGAAACUGUGCUACGUGUAGCGCACUGACGGUACUGUAAGAAUAAGGAUCGGCUAACUCCGUG
Molecule: ribosomal RNA, 487 nt
Filed under: uncultured bacterium
Lineage: Bacteria
Description: bacterial SSU rRNA
Rfam family: Bacterial small subunit ribosomal RNA
Source: RNAcentral